This 256-nucleotide ribosomal RNA is filed under the name uncultured bacterium. Its description in RNAcentral is "partial 16S ribosomal RNA". It matches the Rfam family "Bacterial small subunit ribosomal RNA", at positions 521 to 776 of the family's 1533-position model. The record is from RNAcentral.
UAAGACGUAGGGGGCCAGCGUUGUUCGGAAUUACUGGGUGUAAAGGGUUCGUAGGCGGUGCGGCAAGUUGGGAGUGAAAUCUCUGGGCUUAACCCAGAGGCUGCUUCCAAAACUGCUGUGCUCGAGUGUGGGAGAGGCGCGUGGAAUUGCAGGUGUAGCGGUGAAAUGCGUAGAUAUCUGCAGGAACACCCGUGGCGAAAGCGGCGCGCUGGACCACUACUGACGCUGAGGAACGAAAGCUAGGGGAGCAAACAGG